GACGAACGCUGGCGGCGUGCUUAACACAUGCAAGUCGAACGGAAAGACCCUGCUUUUGUGGGGUGCUCGAGUGGCGCACGGGUGCGUAACACGUGAGUAACCUGCCCUUGACUUUGGGAUAACUUCAGGAAACUGGGGCUAAUACCGGAUAGGAGCUCCUGCUGCAUGGUGGGGGUUGGAAAGUUUCGGCGGUUGGGGAUGGACUAGCGGUUUAUCAGCUUGUUGGUGGGGUAGAUGCUUACCAAGGCUUUGACGGGUAGCCGGCCUGAGAGGGGGACCGGCCACAUUGGGACUGAGAUACGGCCCAGACUCCUACGGGAGGCAGCAGUGGGGAAUAUUGCACGAUGGGCGCAAGCCUGAUGCAGCAACGCCGCGUGCGGGAUGAUGGCCUUCGGGUUGUAAACCGCUUUAGCCUGUGACGAAGCGUUAGUGACGGUAAUGGAUAAAGAAGCACCGGCUAACUACGUG
RNAcentral lists this ribosomal RNA (468 nucleotides) under uncultured bacterium. Its description in RNAcentral is "partial 16S ribosomal RNA". It matches the Rfam family "Bacterial small subunit ribosomal RNA", at positions 28 to 507 of the family's 1533-position model. The record is from RNAcentral.